RNAcentral lists this ribosomal RNA (482 nucleotides) under uncultured bacterium. RNAcentral's name for it is "partial 16S ribosomal RNA". It matches the Rfam family "Bacterial small subunit ribosomal RNA", at positions 28 to 523 of the family's 1533-position model. The record is from RNAcentral.
GACGAACGCUGGAGGCGUGCUUAACACAUGCAAGUCGAACGAUGAAAUGGAGCUUGCUCCAUGGAUUAGUGGCGAACGGGUGAGUAACACGUGAGUAACCUGCCCUUAAUUUUGGAAUAACCCAGGGAAACCUGGGCUAAUACCGGAUAAGUAAACCUGUGGCAUCCCAAGGUUUUGGAACGUUUUUCGAUUAAGGAUGGAUUCGCGGCCUAUCAGCUUGUUGGUGAGGUAAUGGCUCACCAAGGCGACGACGGGUAGCCGGCCUGAGAGGGUGAACGGCCACACUGGGACUGAGACACGGCCCAGACUCCUACGGGAGGCAGCAGUGGGGAAUAUUGCGCAAUGGACGAAAGUCUGACGCAGCGACGCCUCGUGAGGGACGAAGGUCUUCGGAUUGUAAACCUCUUUCAGCAGGGACGAAGCGAAAGUGACGGUACCUGCAGAAGAAGCACCGGCUAACUAUGUGCCAGCCGCCGCCGUAA